CCCUUGAGUCCAGGAUAACCUACCGAAAGUGGGCUAAUACCGGAUAUGACCACGGGGACUACGGUCCCUGAGGUGAAAGGUGGCCUCUGUUUACAUGCUACCGCUCAUCGAUGGGCCUGCGCGCCAUUAGCUAGUUGGUGGGGUAAUGGCCCACCAAGGCGAUGAUGGCUAGCUGGUCUGAGAGGAUGGCCAGCCACACUGGGACUGAAACACGGCCCAG
Molecule: ribosomal RNA, 220 nt
Filed under: uncultured bacterium
Lineage: Bacteria
Description: partial 16S ribosomal RNA
Rfam family: Bacterial small subunit ribosomal RNA
Source: RNAcentral